RNAcentral lists this ribosomal RNA (433 nucleotides) under uncultured bacterium. RNAcentral's name for it is "partial 16S ribosomal RNA". It matches the Rfam family "Bacterial small subunit ribosomal RNA", at positions 29 to 507 of the family's 1533-position model. The record is from RNAcentral.
AACGAACGCUGGCGGCAUGCCUAACACAUGCAAGUCGAACGAGACCUUCGGGUCUAGUGGCGCACGGGUGCGUAACGCGUGGGAAUCUGCCCUUGGGUUCGGAAUAACAGUGAGAAAUUACUGCUAAUACCGGAUGAUGUCUUCGGACCAAAGAUUUAUCGCCCAGGGAUGAGCCCGCGUAGGAUUAGCUAGUUGGUGGGGUAAUGGCCUACCAAGGCGACGAUCCUUAGCUGGUCUGAGAGGAUGAUCAGCCACACUGGGACUGAGACACGGUCCAGACUCCUACGGGAGGCAGCAGUGGGGAAUAUUGGACAAUGGGCGCAAGCCUGAUCCAGCAAUGCCGCGUGAGUGAUGAAGGCCUUAGGGUUGUAAAGCUCUUUUACCCGGGAUGAUAAUGACAGUACCGGGAGAAUAAGCUCCGGCUAACUCCGUG